AUUGAACGCUGGCGGAAUGCUUUACACAUGCAAGUCGAACGGCAGCACGGGGGCAACCCUGGUGGCGAGUGGCGAACGGGUGAGUAAUACAUCGGAACGUGCCCGGUCGUGGGGGAUAACGUAGCGAAAGUUACGCUAAUACCGCAUACGAUCUGAGGAUGAAAGCGGGGGACCUUCGGGCCUCGCGCGAUCGGAGCGGCCGAUGUCAGAUUAGGUAGUUGGUGGGGUAAAGGCCUACCAAGCCGACGAUCUGUAGCUGGUCUGAGAGGACGACCAGCCACACUGGGACUGAGACACGGCCCAGACUCCUACGGGAGGCAGCAGUGGGGAAUUUUGGACAAUGGGCGCAAGCCUGAUCCAGCGAUUCCGCGUGCAGGACGAAGGCCUUCGGGUUGUAAACUGCUUUUGUAUGGAACGAAAAGGCUCUGGCUAAUACCUGGGGCUCAUGACGGUACCGUAAGAAUAAGCACCGGCUAACUACGUG
RNAcentral lists this ribosomal RNA (484 nucleotides) under uncultured bacterium. Its description in RNAcentral is "partial 16S ribosomal RNA". It matches the Rfam family "Bacterial small subunit ribosomal RNA", at positions 30 to 507 of the family's 1533-position model. The record is from RNAcentral.